RNAcentral lists this long non-coding RNA (438 nucleotides) under Elaeis guineensis (African oil palm). RNAcentral's name for it is "long non-coding RNA (EGUI_LNC032838)". Lineage: Eukaryota; Viridiplantae; Streptophyta; Magnoliopsida; Arecales; Arecaceae. The record is from RNAcentral.
UUCUUGGGUACUUCAUCUCUAACAGUGCUUAUAUGUUCUCUAAGUUUGCUCUGAUUUCAUGUUGAGUCACCAUGAACCCUAAUAACUCAUCUGAAGCCUCACCAAAAACACAUUUGCUAUGGUUGAGCUUUAUUGAUUCUGGCUCAGCUCACAAAAAAUCUCCCUGAGGUCAACUAUAUGCCGAUCUGUCUCAGUACUUUUGACCAGCAUAUCAUUGAUGUAGAUUUUCAUAUUGCAUCUGAUCUAAUGUUUGAACACUUUGUUGAUAAGGUGUUGCUAUCAAGCAAAUGAAGGACUUUGAGUGGUCGGAUGAAUGCUAAAUUGCAUUCGAAGAGAUUAAGCAAUACCAUAGAUCCCCUUGUUAUUCUUCAAACCAAUAGCAGGUGAGGAGAUAUAUCUAUACUUAUUUGUUUCACAUGUUGCCAUCAGUUCGAUAUU